ACCUAAGAGACCAACUAAGUUUGUUCUGGGUAUAAGCUUUUCUGUGCAUGCAAACUUCCUCAGAUACACGAAAGCUUAUACCCAGAACAAAUUUAGUUGGUCUCUAAGGU
This 110-nucleotide microRNA precursor is filed under the name Podarcis lilfordi (Lilford's wall lizard). Lineage: Eukaryota; Metazoa; Chordata; Lepidosauria; Squamata; Lacertidae. The record is from RNAcentral.